RNAcentral lists this long non-coding RNA (1518 nucleotides) under Macaca fascicularis (crab-eating macaque). Its description in RNAcentral is "lncRNA (ENSMFAG00000057197.1)". Lineage: Eukaryota; Metazoa; Chordata; Mammalia; Primates; Cercopithecidae. The record is from RNAcentral.
CCAGGCUGGUCUCAAACUCCUGGCCUCAUGUUAAUCUGCCUGCCUCGGCCUCUCAAAGUGUUGGGAUUACAGGUAUGAGCCACCGCGCCCGGCCAGGUAUCACCUUUUCUUCGUUAAAGCUCUGGCCACCUGUAUCCUGUGGAGAUCAAAUUCCUACAAACAGCUGCAGCCAAUCUUCCUUAUAUACCCAUGCCUUGCUGGGCAUAGGUUCUGGGACUACUGAAAUAAAUACAGCAUAGUUCAGUCUCUACCCUGCAUUGGAGUUCUGGGGAGCUGGGGGUAGGGGGUUAUAGAGAGACCAGUAAAUGCAUCAUUACAAUACAGGCAGUUAAGUGUAAUAGUGUGGGAAUGCUGUGGGACUACUGAGUCGGGGAGUGAGCCGAGUCAUGAGUGUUAAAUCCAGAUUAAGACUAACCAAGAUUAGGAGUUAACCAGGCAUAAAAGUGGGUUUUCAGACAGGGAUACAGCUCGUACCAACGCAAGGAAGUAUGGAGCAUACAGUGGCCUAGCUGGGAACAGCAAGGCCUGGUUUGACUGCAGCAGCCUGUGUAAGUUGGGGGAACAGCAGUGAAUGAUCCUAGAAAGCAGCAGGAGUUGUAUUAAGAGGUUGGCUGUCAGCAUUUAGUAUUCUUUUCUUGUGGGUGUUAAGAAGUGCUGGAAGAUAUUAAGCGGAAAGUCACAUGAUCCCGUGUGCAUUUUGGAGAAGUAACUGGUGCAGUGCGGACGGUCAGUUGGAGGGACUCUGGACUGGAUGGAAGUAGGGGUGCUAGCUAGGAGUCUAGUGCAUCAAUCCAUGCCAGAGAUGAGGACUGCAGGGGCUCACACAGGAGGAGAGGACAGGAGGGCGAAUUUAAAAGAUAAUACGAGGGAAUGGUAACAGCAUUUGGGCUACUUGGACUGUUGAAUACAAGAGAGAUAGAAUGUCCUGGCUUGGGUCAUCUGGCUAAAUAGCGGGGCCAUUACAGCCAUAGAUUCCUUUUGGUUCCACAGUCCAAUCCUUUCCUGUCUUGUGGUGCCACAUUAUAUGACUGUAUUACAUGACUUUGUCACAUGCUAUAAGAAGAGUAACUGCCAUGGAGUUGAGAAGGUAAGAGAAAGGUGAGUAGAAUGCUCAAAAACAUAAGAGUCAGAAAUUAUUAUAAGAUCAGUCAGGCAGGAAAUAUAAUGGUAAAGGCCGACAGCGAGACUUUGUCUUGGAAAAAGAUAAAAUACUAUAAAACCAAAAAGUCAAGAAAUUAUUAAGUAUUUUUAGUGGAGACAGGGUUUCACCAUGUUGGCCAGGAUGGUCUCGAUCUCUUGACCUCAUGGUCUACCCGCCUUGGCCUCCCAAAGUGCUGGGAUUAGAGGCGUGAGCCACUGUGUGGUGGUGGGCACCUGUAGUCCUAGCUGCUCGGGAGGCUGAGGCAGGAGAAUGGCUUGAACCUGGGAGGUGGAGGUGGCAGUAAGCGGAGAUCACGCCACUGUACUCCAGCCUGGUGACAAAGCAAGAGUCCGUAUCAAAAAAAAAAAAAAAAAAAA